CGGCGGUCAAAUCGGGCAAAUGUUCCACAUCCGCAAGUCCUUUGAUCCUCUGCUCAUUCUUGGAAGUCGUGACGGCUACGACCCCCUUCUGAAGAGUCCAGAGGAGAAGUACGGUAGUAGAGUCCAACUUUUGGCCGCUGUCCUUGGAAAUGCGUUGCGCAAUACGCUCAAGGACAGGCUUAAGAGGCCCACCGUCGGGAUGACGGAGUACCGGAGUCAAAGGACCGUAAGCUUCAAUCAGGAUACCAUGCUGAGCGGCAAUCUUGAGGACCGGUUCGAGGUGUACAAGGUAUGUUGAUGACCUACGGUUGGCAACAGGCUUAAUUCGAGCCACCCUCAAGAUAGCCUCCAGAUCUUGAGGCCUGAAGUUGCUUACUCCCAAACUCACACCUUCCAAAGUACCGUCAUGAACGAGAUCCUCAAGGUAUGUCCAGAACUGAGAGAUGUUACCAUCCUGCACAACAAAUGGAUUGUGGAUGAGCAAGAGGUCAGGUUUGGUCUGGAGUCGGGCAAUGGAUGCCAGGACAUUCUCCCGGAUAGCUUCCUUAUCGGUAGGGACCUUGCCGGAAACUGGUACAUAUGUAUAAUCCAUACAUCCUCUCUCUUAAGACCAGACGCUCUGAAGGACUCGCCUGUGGCUUCCUCAGUAUUGUAAGCCUGAGCGGUAUCGAUGUGGCGGAUGCCAGAUUUCAAUGCGUGGAUACCCGAGUCAAUCGCGAGCUGCUGUUCUUUGUUGAUACCACCGCUGCCGCUUCCCCAUGCGAGGGAAGGAACAGACUUGCCAUCGGAGAGUUUGAAGGUGCGGGUCAUUAUUGUGAAGUGUGAGAAACGGAGGUAAAAAUGGGGAAUGAGUGCUGCUGGAUGUAUAUAUACAGGCACUCAUUGCCAUAUGGCGUGACGCUUAAUAUAAGUCCGACGUCAUGUCCGUCAGCACGGAUUAUUUAUUGAAUAAUGACUCAAUCAGCAAGGACCGGAUCGAGCUACGCACGCUGCCCUUCAUAAACUGCGGUUAUGGCCGGUCAAGCCACCCAAAUAAAGAAGCUGUCUUAUGUAAGC
RNAcentral lists this small RNA (1056 nucleotides) under Cryptococcus neoformans H99. RNAcentral's name for it is "Cryptococcus neoformans var. grubii H99 hypothetical RNA". Lineage: Eukaryota; Fungi; Basidiomycota; Tremellomycetes; Tremellales; Cryptococcaceae. The record is from RNAcentral.